AUGGAUACCGAAUGGGAGCUAAAAUUUCCUAUGGUAACCGUACGAGCCCUAGAGAGAAUCGAGGCAUUAUCGGAUCAUGCACCAAUCAUUCUUGAUUCUAAUUCUACAAGCCAUUCUUCCCGCCACCCUUUCAAAUUUGAAUUGGCAUGGCUGCACCGGGAAGGUUUUGUAGAAAUAAUCAAGAAAGUUUGGGAGAGGCCAGUCAUUGGUCGUACACCGAUUCAGAGAUGGAAUAAUAAAAUAAGGGCCAUGAGGCAACACCUCUCUGGAUGGGCGAAACACAUCAAUGGGUUAUAUAAAAAAGAAAAGCAGCGCCUUUGUACCAUCAUUGAUGACCUCGACAAAAUUGCAGAGACCCGCACCUUAUCUCAACAUGAGAUUGAAUUGAAAAAUCAAUCUAAUGAGAAGGUUGCCCGUCUUCUACGAGAAGAGGAGAUCAAAUACUACCAGAGGUCCAAAGCUGACUUCAUUCUAAUGGGAGAUAGUAAUACAAGAUACUUCCAAUUGGUCGCCAAUGGUCGACAUAGGAAGAAAUGUAUUCAUAGUCUCCAACAGGACGAGGGGCGGAUCGAAGGUCAAAGGGAGCUCAAAAACUAUAUCACCAGCUACUACAAAUCUCUGUUCGAAGCGUCGGAUGAAGGAAAUGUCACCCUUGACGAGACCCGAACAAAUGAUAUUCCACAAGUCACGGCAGAAGAGAAUGAUAUCCUCACGGCACCUUUCUCAGAGGAGGAGGUGGGAGCGGCGGUGUUCCAAAUGGAACACAACAAAGCUCCAGGCCCUGAUGGUUUCCCCGCAAAAUUCUAUCAGAAUUUCUGGGAUAUCAUCAAGGCUGACCUUUUGGAGUUGUUCAAUUGUCUUCAUGCCAAUCGACUUGAUCUAUUCAGAAUAAAUUUUGGUGAGAUUGUCUUGUUGCCGAAGAUUAAGGAGGCUGAACGGAUUCAGCAGUUCAGACCCAUAUGUCUCCUUAAUGUUAGCUUCAAGAUUUUCACCAAAGUGAACAUGAGUGGAGUGAUAUUCAAAAUUGACUUUGAAAAGGCAUAUGACAAGGUCAAGUGGUCUUUCCUUCAACAGGCCCUAAGGAUGAAAGGUUUCUUCGAUAAAUGGCGCCAGUGGAUCCAUAAUUUUGUAACUGGAGGUAGUGUGGCCAUCAAAGUCAAUGAUGAUGUAGGUCAUUACUUUCAGACAAAAAAAGGACUACGAUAG
Molecule: ribosomal RNA, 1206 nt
Filed under: Triticum aestivum (bread wheat)
Lineage: Eukaryota; Viridiplantae; Streptophyta; Magnoliopsida; Poales; Poaceae
Description: partial small subunit ribosomal RNA
Source: RNAcentral